This 26-nucleotide small RNA is filed under the name Bombyx mori (domestic silkworm). Its description in RNAcentral is "ovarian small RNA-35837". The record is from RNAcentral. Lineage: Eukaryota; Metazoa; Arthropoda; Insecta; Lepidoptera; Bombycidae.
UGUCUUAGGCUCGAUCAGCUAGCGUU